RNAcentral lists this ribosomal RNA (301 nucleotides) under uncultured bacterium. Its description in RNAcentral is "partial 16S ribosomal RNA". It matches the Rfam family "Bacterial small subunit ribosomal RNA", at positions 509 to 807 of the family's 1533-position model. The record is from RNAcentral.
CAGCCGCCGCGGGAAAACGGAGGGGGCUAGCGUUGUUCGGAAUUACUGGGCGUAAAGCGCACGUAGGCGGCUUGGUAAGUUAGAGGUGAAAGCCCGGAGCUCAACUCCGGAAUUGCCUUUAAGACUGCCGAGCUAGUAGGUGAGAGAGGUAAGUGGAAUUCCGAGUGUAGAGGUGAAAUUCGUAGAUAUUCGGAAGAACACCAGUGGCGAAGGCGGCUUACUGGCUCAUUCUAGACGCUGAGGUGCGAAAGCGUGGGGAGCAAACAGGAUUAGAGACCCGCGUAGUCCCUGUCUCUUAUAC